AUGGAUACGGUGGAAGCUCGACUAGGAAGCUCAGUCAAGAAAGAGAUUCGGGUUAGGCGGAAAUGGCAUAUCCAGGGCACGGCGCAGAGGAUGUUCCGGUAUUGUAAGAUAGGAACGGGAGUGAAAGAAUGCAUUGGACGAAAGAAGAGGUUAGAACCAGCUCCACCGGCUAAAGGGACAUGGACUCUUCAGAAGGCUCAGACCAAUUCAACAAGAUUCGAAGAUGCUCUAGGUAGAGGUUCGAAGAGACUGAGCCAAGUAAAGAUAAAUUGUCCGGGCCAAGAAAGCAAGCCAAGCCGGGAAGGCAUAGAGUCGCCCCCAAGAUGA
Vicia faba (fava bean) is the source of this 327-nucleotide non-coding RNA. The record is from the annotation of a GenBank genome assembly. NCBI's taxonomy places the organism in Eukaryota, Viridiplantae, Streptophyta, Magnoliopsida, Fabales, Fabaceae.